UAUUUUUAGAAAAAUACUUAUUAUACAACUCGAUUUCAUUUCAAAUGCGUCUUAUAAUAAGACAUUUUGUGUUCUAUAAUGAUCUUUACAAUAAUGUCAUCUUGGUUUUGAAGGUAACAACCCCUAAUCUUUGGAUACUUCUCCAUCUAGCAAAUUCAUUUUCAUAUUCUAUCUUUUUAAAUUUGACAAUAUUAGUUGUUGUUUUUUCUUAACAAGUAUUCUCUUUUGAUUUCAUUGAAUCUUCUGAUGUUACUUCUAUAGGAUUUACAUUCAUAUCGAUUUUCGAAUUACUUCUCGAAAUCGAGAUCGAACUCAUAGAUCUAGGACGAUAUAUUCUGUUCUUUGGCAUUCUUUGGUUGUGAUCGUCAUCUCCUUCACCCUCAUCAAGAACUUUACAUCUCUCUCCAAGUAUAAUUGGUCUUACCAGAAUCGAAUUCUCUGCCUUCGGUUUCUUUUCCUUUACAGAUUUAUCCUCCAACCCAUCACGUUUUAGGGCCAUUGACAACGAUCUUGGCAUUUGGAUUGUCAGGCUAGCACUCAGUUUCUUCCUAGUAGACAUAGAUUUUCUUAACAUCAUAUUGUUACACGAAUAUGUUUCCCGUAACGCUUCUUUUCUCGCAGGAGGCAACGGAAGAUCAGCGUUCGCGAUACUAUUACCAUCCUUAGAUGCAUUGGUAUCACGAUCAUCGGCUUCCUUAUGCUGCAAGUCAUCGCUUUCCUUGUGUUCCAAGUCAUUGCUUGUUUGUUCUCUUGUUGUAGUCUCAAGAGGAGAUGACUGCCUCCCCGUCUGGACCGUCCCAAUAGGCAGAUUUUUUUUUUGCUUGAAACAACAAAGACCGGUGAAUAAGGCGAUGAAAGCAGUCAUCUUGCUUGAACAUACAUAAAGAUUAUAAUAGAAUCGAAAUUGUGUGAACAAGCAUAAAGGUAAAAUUGAACUUUUUGUGGUUUUUAAUCCUUUGGUGUCUGUUUGUGAAGUCUUUUUAGCUUUGAAAAGGCGAGUUAAAUUGCUGGAAUUAAGGUGAUUUUUAGUUUCUCAAGUAUAAAGAUUUGGUUAUGGAUGUCUUUCUAAUUAUAGGUUCAAAAAAAAAAGAAUAACCAAAAAAACUACUUCUCAUAGUUUUUGUUAGGUAAGGGUUUAACGUUAACCACUAAACAUAUGUAACUUCUUUGAACAAUUUAGGGUCCAAUGUAUUACCAUUGGUUGUUUUUUCUAGGCCUUCUUGUAACUCAAUAUCAACAUGGUGUUGGUAUAAAACUUGCAUAUCAAGUUAUCCAAGGGCAUAAUGUGAUUCUGAUCAACUAACUUUGUUAUAAGUUAUAACAUAAACCAACACAUACGUUUAUAUAUUUAUUGACCACUCAAGAGUAAUAAAAGACAUAACACAUGAAGUCUGCAACAUGUUGUCUGCAAUUCAAAUUGUUGAAGUUUUCUUGUAGGGUUCAGCUAGUGGCAUCUUGAUAAUAUUUGCAGAGUCUUUCAAGUCGAAGGAGGAGAGCGAGUGCGGCGGGAGAACAAACAUAAG
This 1523-nucleotide long non-coding RNA is filed under the name Capsella rubella. RNAcentral's name for it is "long non-coding RNA (CRUB_LNC002080)". The record is from RNAcentral. Lineage: Eukaryota; Viridiplantae; Streptophyta; Magnoliopsida; Brassicales; Brassicaceae.